UGAGGAAUAUUGGUCAAUGGGCGAGAGCCUGAACCAGCCAAGUAGCGUGCAGGAUGACGGCCCUAUGGGUUGUAAACUGCUUUUAUACAGGGAUAAAGUUCGACUAACGUGUCAUCUGUUUUGUCAGGUAACCGUCAUGAAAAAGGGGCCGGGCUAAAACCAG
Molecule: ribosomal RNA, 163 nt
Filed under: uncultured bacterium
Lineage: Bacteria
Description: partial 16S ribosomal RNA
Rfam family: Bacterial small subunit ribosomal RNA
Source: RNAcentral